RNAcentral lists this ribosomal RNA (256 nucleotides) under uncultured bacterium. Its description in RNAcentral is "partial 16S ribosomal RNA". It matches the Rfam family "Bacterial small subunit ribosomal RNA", at positions 524 to 776 of the family's 1533-position model. The record is from RNAcentral.
UACGUAGGGUGCAAGCGUUAAUCGGAAUUACUGGGCGUAAAGCGUGCGCAGGCGGUUAUGUAAGACAGAUGUGAAAUGCCCGGGCUUAACCUGGGAACUGCAUUUGUGACUGCAUGGCUAGAAUCUGGCAGAGGGGGGUAGAAUUCCACGUGUAGCAGUGAAAUGCGUAGAUGUGUGGAGGAACACCGGAUGGCGGAAGGCAGCCCCCUGGGUCAAGAUUGACGCUCGAUGCACGAAAGCGUGGGGAGCAAACAGG